This 253-nucleotide ribosomal RNA is filed under the name uncultured bacterium. Its description in RNAcentral is "partial 16S ribosomal RNA". It matches the Rfam family "Bacterial small subunit ribosomal RNA", at positions 524 to 776 of the family's 1533-position model. The record is from RNAcentral.
UACGAAGGGGGCUAGCGUUGCUCGGAAUCACUGGGCGUAAAGGGUGCGUAGGCGGGUCUUUAAGUCAGGGGUGAAAUCCUGGAGCUCAACUCCAGAACUGCCUUUGAUACUGAGGAUCUUGAGUUCGGGAGAGGUGAGUGGAACUGCGAGCGUAGAGGUGAAAUUCGUAGAUAUUCGCAAGAACACCAGUGGCGAAGGCGGCUCACUGGCCCGAUACUGACGCUGAGGCACGAAAGCGUGGGGAGUAAACAGG